GAGUCGACCCCUAAGGCGAGGCCGAAAGGCGUAGUCGAUGGGAAACGGGUUAAUAUUCCCGUACUUGGUGUUACUGCGAAGGGGGGACGGAGAAGGCUAUGUUGGCCGGGCGACGGUUGUCCCGGUUUAAGCGUGUAGGUGUGUGUUCCAGGUAAAUCCGGUUCACUUUAACACUGAGGCGUGAUGACGAGGCACUACGGUGCUGAAGCAACAAAUGCCCUGCUUCCAGGAAAAGCCUCUAAGCAUCAGGUAACAUCAAAUCGUACCCCAAACCGACACAGGUGGUCAGGUAGAGAAUACCAAGGCGCUUGAGAGAACUCGGGUGAAGGAACUAGGCAAAAUGGUGCCGUAACU
This 354-nucleotide ribosomal RNA is filed under the name Salmonella enterica. RNAcentral's name for it is "partial 23S ribosomal RNA". It matches the Rfam family "Bacterial large subunit ribosomal RNA", at positions 1379 to 1735 of the family's 2925-position model. The record is from RNAcentral. RNAcentral also lists the same sequence under 1 other name. Lineage: Bacteria; Pseudomonadati; Pseudomonadota; Gammaproteobacteria; Enterobacterales; Enterobacteriaceae.